This 795-nucleotide ribosomal RNA is filed under the name uncultured bacterium. RNAcentral describes it as "bacterial SSU rRNA". It matches the Rfam family "Bacterial small subunit ribosomal RNA", at positions 132 to 917 of the family's 1533-position model. The record is from RNAcentral.
AUAAGUGGGGAACAACAGUUGGAAACGACUGCUAAUACCGCAUAAUCUACGUGAGUAGGAAAGGUGGCCUCUUAACAAUGCUGCCGCUUAUGGAUGAGCCCGCGUCUGAUUAGCUAGUUGGUGGGGUAAAGGCCUACCAAGGCGACGAUCAGUAGCCGGCCUGAGAGGGUGAACGGCCACACUGGGACUGAGACACGGCCCAGACUCCUACGGGAGGCAGCAGUGGGGAAUAUUGCGCAAUGGGGGAAACCCUGACGCAGCGACGCCGCGUGAGCGAAGAAGGCCUUAGGGUUGUAAAGCUCUGUUUUAAGGGACGAAUGUUCAUGGGAGUAAUAUGCCUAUGAAAUGACGGUACCUUAAGAGGAAGCCCCGGCUAACUACGUGCCAGCAGCCGCGGUAAGACGUAGGGGGCGAGCGUUGUCCGGAAUUACUGGGCGUAAAGAGCACGUAGGCGGGAACUUAAGUCAGGUGUGAAAGACCGGGGCUCAACCUCGGGUAUGCACUUGAAACUGGGUUUCUUGAGGGCAGGAGAGGAAAGCAGAAUUCCUGGUGUAGCGGUGAAAUGCGUAGAAAUCAGGAGGAAUACCAGUGGCGAAGGCGGCUUUCUGGACUGACCCUGACGCUGAGGUGCGAAAGCGUGGGUAGCAAACAGGAUUAGAUACCCUGGUAGUCCACGCCGUAAACGAUGGAUACUAGGUGUGGGAGGUAUCGACCCCUUCCGUGCCGCAGCUAACGCAAUAAGUAUCCCGCCUGGGGAGUACGGUCGCAAGGCUGAAACUCAAAAGAAUUGACGGA